RNAcentral lists this ribosomal RNA (333 nucleotides) under Salmonella enterica subsp. enterica serovar Concord. Its description in RNAcentral is "partial 23S ribosomal RNA". It matches the Rfam family "Bacterial large subunit ribosomal RNA", at positions 1241 to 1574 of the family's 2925-position model. Lineage: Bacteria; Pseudomonadati; Pseudomonadota; Gammaproteobacteria; Enterobacterales; Enterobacteriaceae. The record is from RNAcentral.
CUGUAAGCCUGUGAAGGUGGCCUGUGAGGGUUGCUGGAGGUAUCAGAAGUGCGAAUGCUGACAUAAGUAACGAUAAAGCGGGUGAAAAGCCCGCUCGCCGGAAGACCAAGGGUUCCUGUCCAACGUUAAUCGGGGCAGGGUGAGUCGACCCCUAAGGCGAGGCCGAAAGGCGUAGUCGAUGGGAAACGGGUUAAUAUUCCCGUACUUGGUGUUACUGCGAAGGGGGGACGGAGAAGGCUAUGUUGGCCGGGCGACGGUUGUCCCGGUUUAAGCGUGUAGGUGUGUGUUCCAGGUAAAUCCGGUUCACUUUAACACUGAGGCGUGAUGACGAGG